RNAcentral lists this ribosomal RNA (497 nucleotides) under uncultured bacterium. RNAcentral describes it as "partial 16S ribosomal RNA". It matches the Rfam family "Bacterial small subunit ribosomal RNA", at positions 28 to 507 of the family's 1533-position model. The record is from RNAcentral.
GAUGAACGCUGGCGGCGUGCCUAAUACAUGCAAGUCGAGCGAACAGACGAGGAGCUUGCCCCUCUGACGUUAGCGGCGGACGGGUGAGUAACACGUGGAUAACCUACCUAUAAGACUGGGAUAACUUCGGGAAACCGGAGCUAAUACCGGAUAAUAUAUUGAACCGCAUGGUUCAAUAGUGAAAGACGGUUUUGCUGUCACUUAUAGAUGGAUCCGCGCCGCAUUAGCUAGUUGGUAAGGUAACGGCUUACCAAGGCAACGAUGCGUAGCCGACCUGAGAGGGUGAUCGGCCACACUGGAACUGAGACACGGUCCAGACUCCUACGGGAGGCAGCAGUAGGGAAUCUUCCGCAAUGGGCGAAAGCUUGACGGAGCAACGCCGCGUGGGUGAUGAAGGUCUUCGGAUCGUAAAACUCUGUUAUUAGGGAAGAACAAAUGUGUAAGUAACUAUGCACGUCUUGACGGUACCUAAUCAGAAAGCCACGGCUAACUACGUG